AGUGAACGCUGGCGGUAGGCCUAACACAUGCAAGUCGAACGGCAGCACAGUAAGAGCUUGCUCUUACGGGUGGCGAGUGGCGGACGGGUGAGGAAUACAUCGGAAUCUACUUUUUCGUGGGGGAUAACGUAGGGAAACUUACGCUAAUACCGAAUAUGACCUACGGGUGAAAGCAGGGGAUCUUCGGACCUUGCGUGAUAGAAUGAGCCGAUGUCGGAUUAGCUAGUUGGCGGGGUAAAGGCCCACCAAGGCGACGAUCCGUAGCUGAUCUGAGAGGAUGAUCAGCCACACUGGAACUGAGACACGGUCCAGACUCCUACGGGAGGCAGCAGUAGGGAAUAUUGGACAAUGGGCGCAAGCCUGAUCCAGCCAUACCGCGUGAGUGAAGAAGGCCUUCGGGUUGUAAAGCCCUUUUGUUGGGAAAGAAAAGCAGCAGGUUAAUACCCCGCUGUUCUGACGGUACCCAAAGAAUAAGCACCGGCUAACUUCGUG
This 492-nucleotide ribosomal RNA is filed under the name uncultured bacterium. RNAcentral's name for it is "partial 16S ribosomal RNA". It matches the Rfam family "Bacterial small subunit ribosomal RNA", at positions 29 to 507 of the family's 1533-position model. The record is from RNAcentral.